AGUGGCAGACGGGUGAGUAAUGUAUAGGAAUCUACCUAGUAGUACGGAAUAAUUGUUGGAAACGGCAACUAAUACCGUAUACGCCCUACGGGGGAAAAAUUUAUUGCUAUUAGAUGAGCCUAUAUUAGAUUAGUUAGUUGGUGAGGUAAAGGCUUACCAAGACAAUGAUCUAUAGCUGAUCUGAGAGGAUGAUCAGCCACACUGGAACUGAGAUACGGUCCAGACUCCUACGGGAGGCAGCAGUGGGGAAUAUUGGACAAUGGGCGAAAGCCUGAUCCAGCCAUGCCGCAUGAGUGAAGAAGGCCUUCGGGUUGUAAAGCUCUUUUAGUGAGGAAGAUAAUGACGGUACUCACAGAAGAAGUCCUGGCUAACUCUGUGCCAGCAGCCGCGGUAAUACGGAGAGGGCUAGCGUUAUUCGGAAUCAUUGGGCGUAAAGGGCGCGUAGGCGGGUUAAUAAGUUAAAAGUGAAAUCCCAAGGCUCAACCUUGGAACUGCUUUUAAAACUGCUAGUCUAGAGAUUGAAAGAGGAUAGAGGAAUUCCUAGUGUAGAGGUGAAAUUCGUAAAUAUUAGGAGGAACACCAGUGGCG
This 588-nucleotide ribosomal RNA is filed under the name uncultured Wolbachia sp. Its description in RNAcentral is "bacterial SSU rRNA". It matches the Rfam family "Bacterial small subunit ribosomal RNA", at positions 94 to 717 of the family's 1533-position model. The record is from RNAcentral. Lineage: Bacteria; Pseudomonadati; Pseudomonadota; Alphaproteobacteria; Rickettsiales; Anaplasmataceae.